Molecule: ribosomal RNA, 301 nt
Filed under: uncultured bacterium
Lineage: Bacteria
Description: partial 16S ribosomal RNA
Rfam family: Bacterial small subunit ribosomal RNA
Source: RNAcentral
CAGUAGCCGCGGUAAUACAGAGGGUGCGAGCGUUAAUCGGAUUUACUGGGCGUAAAGCGUGCGUAGGCGGCUAAUUGAGUCGGAUGUGAAAUCCCCGAGCUUAACUUGGGAAUUGCAUUCGAUACUGGUUAGCUAGAGUGUGGGAGAGGAUGGUAGAAUUCGAGGUGUAGCGGUGAAAUGCGUAGAGAUCUGGAGGAAUACCGAUGGCGAAGGCAGCCAUCUGGCCUAACACUGACGCUGAGGUACGAAAGCAUGGGGAGCAAACAGGAUUAGAUACCCCAGUAGUCCCUGUCUCUUAUAC